AGAAGCUUUUUUCCUCAUUCUCUCUUCUUUGUCUUUUAUCAGGCGACAUCCUGAGGUCGAGUCCAUCUAUUUGCUUCAACCUGGUGGUGCCCCUUCCUGUUGAGGAAAAAGGAGAAAGCAUGUCUGCUCCAGGUACUUCAGGUGAAAUUUUUCAGUGGUUCAGAGGCCA
Molecule: long non-coding RNA, 169 nt
Organism: Lacerta agilis (Sand lizard)
Lineage: Eukaryota; Metazoa; Chordata; Lepidosauria; Squamata; Lacertidae
Exons: 2
Source: RefSeq, a predicted model, not a curated record